UAAAAAACUCUUUUCUCCAAGAAUCUUUCUCGACAAUAUCUCUGCACUUUGGAGCUGCUAUACAAUUUCCAGUGUUCCAUAGGAAUCAGAAACUUAAAUGUCAUGGUUUAUCAUACUUAGUGGUUAAAUUUGAUUAAGAAAUUAUCUGAUGUUGUUCUUAACAAUCUCUGCUCUUCUGAAACAGCCAACUGAAUGUAAUACACACGCG
This 208-nucleotide unclassified non-coding RNA is filed under the name Hevea brasiliensis (rubber tree). Lineage: Eukaryota; Viridiplantae; Streptophyta; Magnoliopsida; Malpighiales; Euphorbiaceae. The record is from RNAcentral.